This is a long non-coding RNA of Cercocebus atys (sooty mangabey), 3519 nucleotides long. RefSeq lists it as uncharacterized. The record is from RefSeq and is a predicted model, not a curated record. The transcript has 4 exons. NCBI's taxonomy places the organism in Eukaryota, Metazoa, Chordata, Mammalia, Primates, Cercopithecidae.
AACAUUGGACAGUUGCUAUGGACUUCUCAGCAUCCAGCCAUUCCUAUCUGGAAUGAAUUUCAAGAUGCAGAAGCAGGUCCAACAUUCUACACUGGAAGCUGAAGCCUGGGCAGCUGUUCUGUCUUGACGAUCAUGUGGCAGCUGGGAAGGUGGACAUGAGACCUAGACUCAGCCAAUCUGAUGGAGGUUCCUGAGGAUCUUGCCAUAUGUUUUUGAAUGAUGACUCUGAACUUUCACAUGAGAGAAAGAUACCGUGCUCUACUUUAAGAAUCGGAAGAAGAGAUACCACGGGUGCACCUGCACAGAGGAAAGGCCACGUGAGGACACAGUGAUAACACAGCCAUCUGCAAGCCUCUAAGAGAAGACUCAGGAGAAAUCAGACCUGCCAACACUUGAGCCUCCACCCUCCUGAACUGUGAGAAUAUUAAUUUCUUUUUUAGCUCACCAGGUACCUCAGUAACAGCAUUUUUGGCAGAGUUGUUGGCGCAAUAUCCAGAUGGAGAAGUAUUGGUGGGUGAGUUAGAGGUGAGGAAAUAAAUAUAACAAAGUCAGUUCAACACUUUUAAACUUAAAGCAACAGUAAAUAAAUGCAAAAUAUUUUUGUAUUAUGUAGACAGGGUAAGUUUUUAUUUUGCCAAGCAGAAAUGUUUUUAGUUCUACCUACUACUGUCAUUAUUUUAUUAAAAAGCAUUGAAUUUCAGAAAACUGGGAAGGAUAUAAAAGAAUAAUGAACAGUCUUCAGGAGAAAAUAGUAACCUUAAUCUGACUCAUAUCUAUAACUUGCUAUAUGAGUAAAUAUGGACAACAUUAGCUCAUUUCCUUUUUAUUUUGCUACGGACACCUAAAAAUAUCUCCUGAUGGUCUUAUAGUCCAUGAAUCAGUAUUUGGGAAUUUCUAGUGUAGUUUUCUUUUGAGGACUUUGGCUACGAAUGAGGGAGAGUGAGGUUAGUAACAGAUCCAGGGAAGACUUUUUCUUAACAUAGAAGAGACUUGAGUAUGUGUAAAUGUUAAUAUCAAGAAGCCAGUAGAAAGGAAGAGGCUGAAGAUGCAAGAAAGAUAAGUCAUAAUUUAUGGCAUGGUAUUCCAGAAAAGGACGAAGAGAUUGACCUUAAACAGAAGGGGCAACCUCUCCAUUGUCACAGGAGAGAAGUAGAAAUGGAUAGAGACAGAUGUAGACCGUAUGUAGACUUGAUGGCAGAAAAUUGAGGUAAUUCCCUUCUGAAAUUUAUAUUUUCUCCAUGAAGAAGAAGACAUUGUAAUCUAAGAGCAAUAGAAGAAAUAAUAGACAAAGUUUUGAGAAGGUUUCAAAGAGUUAAGAGAGAUAACAUGCCUGAGAAUCACAGAUUUGCUGCAUAGUAUUGAGGGCUCGGUAGAUUGUCUGCCAUAAAUUUACAAUGACACCUAAUCUGCUGAAUAGAAGUCAGUAGUCCAGGUGUAGGUAUAUAGAAGAUAUAGAUAGUUGUAUUCAUCCAGGGUUGGGGUUUUACAGAAUAGGCAAUGAAAGGACAAAAAGGGAGAAAGUUCAAUAUACUGGCAAGUAAGUGGUUAAAAUGGUGGCCCAUGGAACCUAAGCUGCAGAGGAGAGGAAGAAAGCAGAUAGGUUGAUGAAAACAGAAAAACCUAUUGGAGGAGAAUAUUUCACUGACCCCUUUGCAGGACUGGCGACAGGGGUGCCUCAUUUACUCUGCCUGCCAUUCUCAAGUUCUCACGGGAGGGCGCGCACAAGCAAACAAGGCAGGAACUGGGGUGCACAAGCACUGGAACCGACCAGCCACUUUGGCACCAGCGAGAUCAAACUCCACUCACUCAGACCACUGUGUUCCACCCGACAGGAGCGAACACACAGGUGAGUAGGUACAGGAGCUACAGUGAGCGCUUUUGGGCACCCCAGGAGCAAACUCCAUGCAGACCCCAGGUGGCAAUGAACCGGCAGGGGUGCCUGCAACUCCCAAAGCCCCAGAGGGUAUGUUAUGGUGCUCUUUCAGCUCUGCCACCCGUGGACAGCUUGAGUGUUAAAAGCUCAGUGGGCCCUCUGCCCUUUUGCAUGAGGUGGCUGCCCUCCUCUGGUGAGGGCAAAGGGCCAGUGUAACAGCCUUUUAUAUCAGCGCUGAUGGUUCCUGAGCUCUUGUCUGGCAUCCAGGAGAAAUGAGGUCAUACAAACAAAUCGAAGGAUGGUAAAUGCAGUGAAUUUGAUUGCCGAUGAAAGUGGCUCUCAGCAGGAAGGGGAGCUGAAAAGAAGAUGGUACUCUUUCCCCGGAGUCCACCCAUCUCUGGCUGGAUUCUUCUCCAAAGUUAUGUCAUCAAGCUGUCCCUCUGAAGUCCAGCUGCUUCUCUCUGACGUCCAGCUGUUUCUCCUCCCUGCUGGCUGAGUCUGGGGUCUUUAUAGGCAUAGGAUGGGGUGGGGCAGGCCAUCGUAGUUUAGGAAAAGACAACAUUCAAGCAGGAAAACAGGGAUAUAAGUUCUCACUUUAGGCAGUGGUUUCAAGUUUUUCAGCUUGAGGGUGAUGCUUCACCAGGGAUCUGCCUGUCUGCCUAGAAUUUCUCUGCCUCCUGCCUCUAUCAUUGUAUCACUAUCAAAGAACAGUUAUAAUUGGGUGAAACAUCUAGAAAGCUAAGAAGCCUAUACUCUAGAUAUAGCUGUUUGUGUGUAAGAUAGGUAUCUUCCAUUCUAGUCCUUCCUUUUUAUAGACUACUUUGUAUCUGGAUUUUAUGGCUUACGUAAGGUUUUAUGAUCUGACCUGGAAAUUUAGUAGAAGUGGUGAGGUACACACCUCAAAAUCAGAAAACAGGCACAGUAGCAUAAGCUGAGUCUCAGAUUUCUCAUCCAUAAGAUGGGGAUAAUAACAGUACUUACUUUAUAUUUGUAUGAAAAAUGCAUAUUGACUUUCCAACACCCAACUUAAAGACAUCUGGAAAAUAAUUCAUUUGCAGUCUAGUCAUUUAUUACAUUAUUUUAGACACUAGUUGGGUUAGGAUGUGAAUGCAGUUAUUUUAGGUAGCUCAUUUAUUCAGUGAAUAUUCACUGAGUGCUACUACAUGCCAAACAUUGCUCUAGCUGCUGACAAUAUGGCAGUAAACAAAACAAAAAUCUCUGUCCUCAUGGAGCUUGCAUUCUAGUCAGAGAGAGACAGAUGCUAAACAAAUAAAAAAUAUGUACUACGUCAGGGGGUGAUAGUGUUUGGAGUCAGGUAAAGUGGAGUAAGGAGGAUAGGGAGUAUGUUCUGAGUCCCACCUUAUACCCGUCAUCUACAAUGCUAUAGGAAGGCCUCACUAAUAAGGGGGCCACUUGAGCAUUUGGGUGUGCCACAUGGGCAUCUGGGAAAGUACAUUCCAAACAAAGGCAGCAGUAGGUGCGUCAAGGAGAGUAUAUUUGGCACAUCUGAAGGCCAGAAAGAAGGCCAAUGUGAUUGGAGUACUGUGAGAAAACGGGAAAGUGGUAGAAUAUGAGAUAGGCUGGUUGGAUCAAAGCAUCCUUGUGGGCCAUGGUAAGAUAAUUGACUUUAGGCUGGGCAUGAUGGC